AAACUUUCAACAACGGAUCUCUUGGUUCCGGCAUCGAUGAAGAACGCAGCGAAAUGCGAUAAUUAAUGUGAAUUGCAGAA
This 80-nucleotide ribosomal RNA is filed under the name Aspergillus amstelodami. Its description in RNAcentral is "5.8S ribosomal RNA". It matches the Rfam family "5.8S ribosomal RNA", at positions 1 to 79 of the family's 154-position model. From Rfam's summary of the family: 5.8S ribosomal RNA (5.8S rRNA) is a component of the large subunit of the eukaryotic ribosome. It is transcribed by RNA polymerase I as part of the 45S precursor that also contains 18S and 28S rRNA. Functionally, it is thought that 5.8S rRNA may be involved in ribosome translocation. Lineage: Eukaryota; Fungi; Ascomycota; Eurotiomycetes; Eurotiales; Aspergillaceae. The record is from RNAcentral.